AGGUUUCCUGCGCAACGUUCAUCGGCGCAGGGUGAGUCGGCCCCUAAGGCGAGGCAGAGAUGCGUAGUCGAUGGGAAGCUGGUUAAUAUUCCAGCACCGAUUGUUGAUGCGAUGGGGGGACGGAGAAAGCUAACCGAGCUGAGUGUUGGAUUACUCAGUGAAAGCCUGUAGACGUGCUGCUUAGGUAAAUCCGGGCGGCUUAGUUGAGGGGUGAGACGAAACGCUCUUCGGAGUGCCAAGUCGGCGAUGCUCUGCUUCCAAGAAAAGCCUCUAAGCUUCAGUCAACAAUUGACCGUACCGCAAACCGACACUGGUGGGUAGGAUGAAAAUUCUAAGGCGCUUGAGAGAACUCUGGAGAAGGAACUCGGCAAAUUGAUACCGUAACUUCGGGAGAAGGUAUGCCCUGGUAGAUUGUAGGAGUACAUCCGAAGGUCGAGAGGGUCGCAGAGAAUCGGUGGCUGCAACUGUUUACCAAAAACACAGGACUCUGCUAACACGAAAGUGGAUGUAUAGGGUCUGACGCCUGCCCGGUGCUGGAAGAUUAAAUGAUGGGGUGCAAGCUCUUGAUUGAAGUCCCAGUAAACGGCGGCCGUAACUAUAACGGUCCUAAGGUAGCGAAAUUCCUUGUCGGGUAAGUUCCGACCCGCACGAAUGGCGUAAUGAUGGCCACACUGUCUCCUCCAGAGACUCAGCGAAGUUGAAGUGUUUGUGAUGAUGCAAUCUCCCCGCGGCAAGACGGAAAGACCCCAUGAACCUUUACUGUAGCUUUGCAUGGGACUGUGACGAUGUUUGUGUAGGAUAGCUGGGAGGCUUUGAAACCGGGACGCUAGUUUCGGUGGAGCCAACGUUGAAAUACCAGCCUGAUGGCGUUGCGGUUCUAACCUGGCCCCCUGAAUCGGGGGUGGGGACAGUGCAUGGUGGGCAGUUUGACUGGGGCGGUCUCCUCCUAAAAGGUAACGGAGGAGCUCGAAGGUGCGCUCAGCGCGGUCGGAAAUCGCGCUACUGGAGUGUAAUGGCACAAGCGCGCUUGACUGCGAGACUGACAAGUCGAGCAGGUACGAAAGUAGGACAUAGUGAUCCGGUGGUUCUGUAUGGAAGGGCCAUCGCUCAACGGACAAAAGGUACUCUGGGGAUAACAGGCUGAUACCGCCCAAGAGUUCAUAUCGACGGCGGUGUUUGGCACCUCGAUGUCGGCUCAUCUCAUCCUGGGGCUGUAGCCGGUCCCAAGGGUAUGGCUGUUCGCCAUUUAAAGAGGUACGUGAGCUGGGUUCAAAACGUCGUGAGACAGUUUGGUCCCUAUCUGCCGUGGGCGCUGGAGAUUUGAGAGGGCCUGCUCCUAGUACGAGAGGACCGGAGUGGACGCACCCCUGGUGUACCGGUUGUGACGCCAGUCGCAUCGCCGGGUAGCUAUGUACGGAAGAGAUAACCGCUGAAAGCAUCUAAGCGGGAAACUCGCCCGAAGAUUAGAUUUCCCCGGGGGCUCGACCCCCCUGAAGAGCCGUUCAAGACCAGGACGUUGAUAGGUCAGGUGUGGAAGCGCAGUAAUGCGUUGAGCUAACUGAUACUAAUUACUCGUGCGGCUUGAUCCU
This 1589-nucleotide ribosomal RNA is filed under the name activated sludge metagenome. RNAcentral describes it as "bacterial LSU rRNA". It matches the Rfam family "Bacterial large subunit ribosomal RNA", at positions 1348 to 2925 of the family's 2925-position model. The record is from RNAcentral.